UUUAAGAUGUUAUUUAAGACAGUUUAUUUUUCAAGAAUUGGAAUUCUUCUUAAGUUUUUUCUUAAGAACAUACUUAAGGAAAAAAAUAAGAACUUUCUUAAGAAGCUUUUUUGAGAAUCAAAAUAUUCGUAACUUUUUUCUUAAGCUUGAAUUUAACCCCCUGGGGUCCAAAAACGCGGGGCUGCGUUUUGACGCAUUUUUUCCUGUUUCCUGUGACAUCCACUUAAAAUACUCCGUCAUUCAUAAUCAUACACAUACAUGUAAUACGUCAUUAGAAACUGUGAAGUGUCUACAUUAAUGUGAGUGCCUUCAUAAUAACAACAAAACCGUGUGCUUUUGGCAAAUAAAGAAAAUAAACAGGGAGUGCAUUUCGACAUCUCUGUCUCCUUGACCAUCUUCCUCAAACACGUUACAAACAUGAACUGAUAACUCCGCCAAUACUUGUCACACGAACAUGAUACAUAUGUCUAAAGAAAGCCUGAAAUGUCUAAUUUUACAUGAUGUAAUUAAAAUCUGAAGAACUCAUUGUCUGUUUGUGUAAUCGACAUGUAAGUAAAGAGAGGUACAGUUUUUCUGGCUCGACCUCAUUAGCACUAAUGUGAUCCCACCUACCCACGUGCGCGCCAUUCAUAUGGAAAUUACCUGAUGCGGGCUAUGCAAACAAGAUCAACGCCCCCAAACAAUUCUUCAAGAAGCAGCAAGUUUUGACAGUUUCAUUCACUUAUCGAUGCGCUGGGAAGAUGACACGCUUUACAGGUGAGGAGCUCUACAGAUCCUCCUGGACAGCGAGGAAGAGUUCACGGUUUCUUCAGACGAAGAGCAGGACUCCGACGAUGAAUGUUUGUAUUUUGAAGAGCGACUUGAUCCAGCUGAGGAUAUAAUUUCUGAAGAGUAAGUUUUACCUACAUUUGUUGAAAUGUUGUGUGAUGUAAACUUUUAUAUACUGUAUACUGACUAUUUGCAAGCAGAUAUUCAUAAUGACUUUAUAUAAACGUCUCGUAACUUGUAUUUACAUAAAAAUUAUAGUUCUUACAUUAAACCGUAUGCUGAUUAGUGUAAUGUGAAUAUGUUAUAAAGCAAUAUCACUACUAUAACUAUAGUGUUCAUGCCGACUUAUCAAUAAGGCUUCUUUACGUGAUUAUUUGCUCGGGUGUAACAAUGUGCUGUAAAUGCGCCCGAAGAUAUGUCAUGCGUUAAACAGUAUGAUUGUAUGGUGUAAUGUAAAUAUACAAUAUGUCAUAAAACAAUAUCACUAUUUUGACUAGUGUUUAUGCCUCAACAAGUCUUGUUUACGCGACUAUCUGUUCGGGUGUAAAUGUAUCGAUGCAGUAUCGAUGUGCUGUAAAUGUGUCCGGAGAUAUGUAAUGUGUUAAUGUUUAGCCAUAAAUAUGUCCGGUAAUGGCCCGUUAACAAAGAUAUACAGCAUAUCUAUGUACCCAAUUAUCUUAUCUCAACUAUGCUUUACCGCCUUAGUAUUGCUUUAUAAGUUUGUUACUGUGGAGAAUACAUUAUAUUAAUUAUUAAAAACUUUUGUAGGAAUGUGGCAGCAUCACUCUCCUCUUCAGCGGGCAUUUGCAGAAAUGCGACGGACAUUCAUACAGGGAAUGUGUCUGUAACACCAACUUCGUCUGGUACUCGCACGAGGGCACGCAGAUACGCAACUGGGAACAAUAAAGAAUUUACCACUGACAGUGAUAAGGCACCUGUUGCAAAGAGAGUCAAGACCAACAUCCAGGCAAGCAGCAGCAGGUCCAUUCUGUCAUGGAAAACAGAGGCUGAUAUUGAUGUGGUUCCACACACUUUGCGUUUCUUUCCUGCACGGGAACCUGGACAUCAGCUGAGUCAUGCAGACGCACACACACCCGAGUUUCUUCAAAAUGUUUUUUCCGGAGGAUGCAGUUUCAAAUCUAAGCCAUAACACCAACGCUCAGGCUGCCAGGGUAACAGCAAAUGGUUGCAAGUAUAAAUGGAAAGAUGUCAGCGUCACUGAAAGCUAACGCUACAUUGGACUACUAUUUUAUAUGGCCAUGGUAAAGAUGAUCUCCAUCAGGCACUACUGGAGACAGGACGAUGUUUUCUUUUCCUGCCAGAGUAAUGUCAAGAGAGAGAUACCGCACUAUUUCAUGGAAUGUGCACAUGAGUCACCCAGAAGACGACAAACAUGUAAUGUUCCAUUGUGUGUUCAGUUAAAUAGGAACUGUUUUGAACAAUGGCACGACAACAUUUAACUCCAUUCUCAAAGAGUUACAGUGUGUGAUGGUUUACAAAUGUAUACCUUAAUUUUUAUAUUGUGAAGUAUUUUUAGAUGCACAUCAAACUGUACAUUCAUAGCUGACAUUUAGA
Molecule: long non-coding RNA, 2343 nt
Organism: Paramisgurnus dabryanus
Lineage: Eukaryota; Metazoa; Chordata; Actinopteri; Cypriniformes; Cobitidae
Source: RefSeq, a predicted model, not a curated record